CUGCCUUGGCCACUUAAAGAGUACUGGCAUUACAGGCAUGUGCCACCCAUGCCUGACUGAAAAAUAAAUUUGUGAGCAAAGAAUAUUUAGGGACUGGGAGGUAGCUCAGUGGAAGGAUGCUUGCUUAGCAUGUGUGAAGCCAUGGGUUUGGUUCCCAGUACCUUUAAAAAAAAUAAAAGAAUAUUUAGACUGUGUCAGUUGUAUUGCCCCAAGGCUCGACAUUCUAUAGCAAAGAAUAAAUGGUUCUACUUUGGUAGGGCUCUGGGACAAGGGGAAUCCAAGACUAGUCCCUCCUUCUCUCCUACCCCAGCCCAACUUCUGCAACAUAAACAGCAAAGCUAAAAAUAGCCACCUAAUGACGUCAGAGGAACAAGGUCAUCUGAACAUUGCCACAGCCACUGGACACCUCCCUAUAGGAUCAAAUAGCAGGAGGGUACCCCAGGCUGGUGCAGCUGUUCCAAGAACAGGAAAUGUCCUAGGAGCAGACCUGGAAGCGCUGCCAUGUGAAAGCAGAGGUAGCCCGGCGGAGGAGCAGGCAAUACAGACGCACAUCCAGACUGAGCGGAGCAUAGACCCCAGAUUAAGAGUAAUUUGACUUUAUCUGCACUAGAAGUCAUUCCCAUCAUUCGAUCCCAGGAAAUGGCUCAAGAAACUGAGAAUGCGUGCUGUCCUCGUGCACAGGGGCAGCUUCUCUGCCUGCCGUUUGCUAUUUUUAAAGUCUAGGUGUGCUUGCUAAACCGGGUUACCAUAAGAACUAGGGGAUGCAUGGCAAGCUGAGGGGCUGCUAGAAGAGGACCCAGCCUGGGUGGCAGGGGGCAUGCCCAUAAAGGACGAGGAGGGGCUGGGAAUGCUCCUGGCUGCAGUCUGGAACCUUGGCCAUCACUCUGGCCUGCGGAGGCAUGUGGCUUCAUGGGCUGGCAGCUGCCGCAUCCCUGACAGGAACCUAAGCAUCUGGCCCAGUCUGAGGAGAUGCCUGCUGUGCAGAUGGCAGACACAUCACAACUCCAGUGAAGUAAGACAAAGUGCUUCCACCUUUCAAAUCUAAUCUGAAGGCUUGAAGACAACAAAUCUCCAUUAAUACUGACAUCACACCAGCCAAGGGGAGCUUUUCCAUCCUGCAAGUGCGUGUGCCACAAUAAUGUCAUGAAUUACACUUUGGGAGAGACUUCUAUUUCCUUCUGAGCUUGUAUUUCAACUACAAAGACAGACUGCAAGUCUUACGAGUCACAGUGUCAGAUUCACCCAGAAGCCAACAUUUCUCACCACCUCCACUGCAACCACCCGAGCCAACCCACCAGCAGUGCGGGCCUUCUGAUCUCACAUGCUCCUCUUCCACCCCCACCUGUCUGCACAGCAGGAGCCUUCUUCAUCUCUGCCUCAUGGUACACAGCUGCCCAAGCUCAACUCACACUGGUUCCAUUGUUUCCUUGCCACCUACCAUCCCCACGUGACAUACCACAAGAUCACUGAGGACACAAGGAAAUGGAACUUCAGUGCUGAGGGGCAUGGAAGGGAAUGACCACAGCAGGAAGACAUGCCACAUCAAACUUUAACAGGUAGGUUCUCCGGUUCUACCAUACAAGUCUAAGACCUAAUCUCAGCUCUACCACCAACUCUUAAAAAUGUUUCUAUGAGGAAGCCGAUUCCCCUUUCAAAGACUCCUUUUCUGAAAAAUGAAGGUAUAACUAGGGGCCUCCUGUAAUCACAGGUACUCAGGAGGCUAGACAGGAUUUUAAAUGCAAGGCUAGCCUGGGCAACU
Long non-coding RNA from Chinchilla lanigera (long-tailed chinchilla), 1759 nucleotides. RefSeq lists it as uncharacterized. Lineage: Eukaryota; Metazoa; Chordata; Mammalia; Rodentia; Chinchillidae. The record is from RefSeq and is a predicted model, not a curated record. The transcript is spliced from 5 exons.